AGCUCUGAGGAAAGCUAUGUUGUAAGGUUGCUCAGACUUACAGAGUGGGUCACUUGCUGAGAAACUGAGGGCCUCCUGCCAGCUGCUAGCACAACCUUACCAGGACUUUCCUGAUUUGAGUGCUAGAAAUCCAGAUCCCUGAAUGAUUUACAACAAGUUAGCUUUCCAGUGGACUUUGCCUUUCAGAUCACUGGAAUGCAGAGAGCAGGACCACUCCACACAAGACUCUGUGAUUAAUCUUCCCAACAACCCCC
Molecule: long non-coding RNA, 254 nt
Organism: Octodon degus (degu)
Lineage: Eukaryota; Metazoa; Chordata; Mammalia; Rodentia; Octodontidae
Exons: 3
Source: RefSeq, a predicted model, not a curated record